AAAGUCGUAACAAGGUUUCCGUAGGUGAACCUGCGGAAGGAUCAUUAAUGAAAACCAAACGCUUCGUGUUGAAGGGUUGUUGCUGGCAUGAAUAAGGCAUGUGCACACCUGGAUCCCGAACGUUCUUCAUCAUUUCUUAUACACCUGUGCACUAUAUGUAGCUUGUGAAGGGGGGAGGGGGAUGAUCACAGAACUUAGGUUCUGAAUGCCCUCUCUUUCUCUCUCUGGCUAUGAAUGUUUUUACACACACACACCUAUUUUAUAGAAUGUAAUGCUCUGCGUGUAACAGCGCGAAUGAAAUACAACUUUCAGCAACGGAUCUCUUGGCUCUCGCAUCGAUGAAAACGCAGCGAAAUGCGAUAAGUAAUGUGAAUUGCAGAAUUCAGUGAAUCAUCGAAUCUUUGAACGCACCUUGCACUCCUUGGUAUUCCGAGGAGUAUGCCUGUUUGAGUGUCAUGAAAUUCUCAACUGCUUCGGCUUUGUUUUCGAAGUGAAGUUGGACUUGGAGGGUUUUGCUGGUGUGAUCAGCUCCUCUUGAAAUCAUGAAGCCCCCCCUAGUAGAUCUUGGCAUACAAGUAUCUUUGACGUGAUAACUAUCUACGUCGCAGAGAAAAGCCUUGAGCAAGAAAUGCCCCUUUAUUUUUUUGGGGGAUUUUCCUACAUGAGUUGGCUUUAAAAAGUUCUCUUAUCUAUAAGAUA
This 699-nucleotide ribosomal RNA is filed under the name Hydnellum versipelle. Its description in RNAcentral is "eukaryotic LSU rRNA". The stretch from base 304 to 456 matches the Rfam family "5.8S ribosomal RNA". Lineage: Eukaryota; Fungi; Basidiomycota; Agaricomycetes; Thelephorales; Thelephoraceae. The record is from RNAcentral.